RNAcentral lists this ribosomal RNA (368 nucleotides) under uncultured organism. Its description in RNAcentral is "bacterial SSU rRNA". It matches the Rfam family "Bacterial small subunit ribosomal RNA", at positions 526 to 896 of the family's 1533-position model. The record is from RNAcentral.
CGGAGGAUCCAAGCGUUAUCCGGAUUCAUUGGGUUUAAAGGGUGCGUAGGCGGAAUAAUAAGUCAGUGGUGAAAGCCCUUCGCUUAACGAAGGAACUGCCAUUGAUACUGUUAAUCUUGAGUACAUUUGAUGUGGGCGGAAUGUGUCAUGUAGCGGUGAAAUGCUUAGAUAUGACACAGAACACCGAUUGCGAAGGCAGCUCACAAAACUGUAACUGACGCUGAGGCACGAAAGCGUGGGUAUCAAACAGGAUUAGAUACCCUGGUAGUCCACGCUGUAAACUAUGAUUACUCGAUGUUUGCGAUAUACUGUAAGCGUCUAAGCGAAAGCAAUAAGUAAUCCACCUGGGGAGUACGCUCGCAAGAGUG